RNAcentral lists this ribosomal RNA (262 nucleotides) under uncultured bacterium. RNAcentral describes it as "partial 16S ribosomal RNA". It matches the Rfam family "Bacterial small subunit ribosomal RNA", at positions 79 to 339 of the family's 1533-position model. The record is from RNAcentral.
CUCUUUCCGGAAUUGAGUGGCAAACGGGUGAGUAACACGUAAACAACCUGCCUUCAGGAUGGGGACAACAGACGGAAACGACUGCUAAUACCGCAUAAGAUUACAGUACCGCAUGAUACAGUGAUCAAAGGAGCAAUCCGCUGAAAGAUGGGCUCGCGUCCGAUUAGAUAGUUGGUGGGGUAAAGGCCUACCAAGGCGAUGAUCAGUAGCUGGUCUGAGAGGACGUUCAGCCACACUGGGACUGAGACACGGCCCAGACUCC